ACAGAGGUCUCAAGCGUUGUUCGGAUUCAUUGGGCGUAAAGGGUGCGUAGGUGGCGCUGUAAGUCGGGUGUGAAAUUUCGGAGCUCAACUCCGAAACUGCAUUCGAUACUGCGGUGCUUGAGGACUGGAGAGGAGACUGGAAUUCAUGGUGUAGCAGUGAAAUGCGUAGAGAUCAUGAGGAAGACCAGUGGCGAAGGCGGGUCUCUGGACAGUUCCUGACACUGAGGCACGAAGGCCAGGGGAGCAAACGGG
Molecule: ribosomal RNA, 252 nt
Filed under: uncultured bacterium
Lineage: Bacteria
Description: partial 16S ribosomal RNA
Rfam family: Bacterial small subunit ribosomal RNA
Source: RNAcentral